GGGUGAGAGACCUAGAAUCUAUUCUAGAAUUUUAGAAAGAAAGAAAAGAGAGAAGAGAGUUCUCAUCAUUGUCUUCUUCCAUCACCACAUCCUCCUCCAUCUUCCAUCUUUAGAACCCAAAGAGUCUGAGAGAUCUGAAAAGAGGAGUAGAUCAGCCAUUCAGAAGAUCUUCAUGCAAGCUAGCAUUCUCGGAGAGAUUGAUCAGUGCAGGGCUUUGAGUGAA
This 223-nucleotide long non-coding RNA is filed under the name Elaeis guineensis (African oil palm). RNAcentral's name for it is "long non-coding RNA (EGUI_LNC042151)". Lineage: Eukaryota; Viridiplantae; Streptophyta; Magnoliopsida; Arecales; Arecaceae. The record is from RNAcentral.